Molecule: non-coding RNA, 72 nt
Organism: Ictidomys tridecemlineatus (thirteen-lined ground squirrel)
Lineage: Eukaryota; Metazoa; Chordata; Mammalia; Rodentia; Sciuridae
Source: Rfam
UGGCAUGUAGCUUAGUUGUAAAGCACUUGUUUAGCGUGAACAAGGACCUGGGUUCAAUUUCCAGCACUCCAA